RNAcentral lists this long non-coding RNA (2587 nucleotides) under Phoenix dactylifera (date palm). RNAcentral's name for it is "long non-coding RNA (PDAC_LNC010305)". Lineage: Eukaryota; Viridiplantae; Streptophyta; Magnoliopsida; Arecales; Arecaceae. The record is from RNAcentral.
AGAGUAUCAGUAGGAUAAUCAAAGCUUUGCCAUAGAAUUGUACCAUCUGGAUCCUUCACAACAAGAUUCCCAGUAUCGAGAAGCUGCGUGUGAGCUUGAGUUGAGUUGGUGCUGGUGGUCCAAAUGAGCGUGCCAUCAUAGUCGGUUAGAACCACAUUCCCAUCCUUGCGCAUCGUAACUCUCGACCCAUGACCAUUCACAGGAUUGUCACGGUUCACUGUCCAGACGAUAGUCUUGGAGUUCAAGUUGGAGAACCAGAUAGAGAAGGUGAAGGCAUUCGAACCAACUUCGUGGAAGCCGCAUGUGAAUGAAUUCUUUGGUGAGAUGAGGAUGUCUGAGUCAUCCUCCACAGAAAGAUAAGAAUGUCUUGUCAGAGAGCUCCUAGGUGAUGGAGAUGCGAAAGUAAGGAGGAGCAGGAAGACGAGAAAGAGAAGGGUAAGGAUGGUGGAAAGAGUAGGGUUUCUCAUAGCAGAGAACUGAGUAGAACUGCAAAGAAGAAAGACAAACCAAUACAUGCCCUUGAUCAUAGAUUUUGGGUCUGGUAUCCUAUGUUAUAGUUGCUGGACCUUGAAUUAUUGUGUCGACCCCUCGGGAGCUGAUUUGUCCAAGUGAAUCGAUAGGAUAUUUAAGGUCAAGCAUGAGUCCUGACCCUUUGCGGUGCUUAUCUUUCACGGUAUGGAGCUAUUCGUCGUUUGAUAGCUAUGAUUCAUUUGAAUGGGAAAGCAUCGUAUUUCGGUGUCUAAUGGGUGACUUGAGUGCCAAACACGGUAGGCAGUAAAUAUUGGUUCAAUUUAUAUCCGAAGUCAAAAAGAAGGAUCUUUCUGGAGGCUGAUGUAUCUAAUAUUUUUUUCAGCAACACCUCUUUGUUUUUUUUGAAAAACCACCUUACCUCCCUUCCCGAAAAAAAAAAAAAUCCAACCCGCCACUGCCAUUAAUUCGAAGACUCAAAGUCCUCUUGAGGCCGUGCUCGAGUUCUUAUCUUGUGCGGUGCUUAUUUUGGCGCUUUCCAUCAUUGAAUAGCCACCACGUCUCAAUCCUUGAAACGGAUGGUUGUCAUUCAUCUAAAACAGAGAAAAUUAUAUUCCAUGCCGAAUACGUCACUUUGGUGCCAUCCAAAGUAGGCAAGGAGACGAGCCACAAUCAUCCAUUCUCGAGAUGAAGUAGUGGUAAUUCAAAGACGAAGAGCCCUGUACAGUACAGAAGAGGCAUGACAGUAGUGGAUUUUGAUUCUUCCACGCUCGGCAUACUUAUUAUCAUGCAAUGAUCUAAUGGUAUCUUAAACUUGAUCUACGUAGUUUGGCUGGAUAUUUAUACGAUCCAAAUGUGGAGAACGCAUAAAGUAAAUCAGAUUCUUGUAUUGGGUCACGGAAACGCGGUCACCUUCAAAACGACAUGUCGAAAUGAAAAUAAUGUUAAGUUUUAUAUAAGCUAUUAACCUAUAUAGGUAAAGCAAUGCUAGGGUUAGAUUCCGUUCGAAGCAUUCAAUUCAACCUUUUUUCCCACUUCAAAACUAUCCCAGCGCAUGGUGACCCCACUUGAACCGUAGUUCGAGAGUUCAACCCCAUUUUAGUUGCAGCCUUUUACGUGCAUUGUACGUGCCAGGUUCUUGUUGCAUUUUGAUCCAACUUUUGUGUCCACGUUUCCCAUAAAGCUUCUGCCCGAAAAAUAAUAGUACGUCCCUCUAAUUUUUUUGAUUAUAUUUACAUAUAUGAUCUCAUGGGGUGUAGGCCCUCGCUAUCAUUUUGAUGAGAAUUAUCUACUAAGCAUUAAAUUAUUGAUGACAAAAGAAUUGUGUCGCAAUAUGCCAAGAAUUGCUGUGAUGAAUUUAGAGGGAUCCAACUAAUUUUUUUUGAUUCAUAUAUUUCUCAAAAUGAUAGCAAACUAAAUUUAAGAAAAAAUUGAUAUAAAUUAAAAAAUAAUUAUGUAAAAAAAUUCUAAAAUAUUUAAAGGUUUUAAUUUUUUAAAAAAUUAAUUUAUUACAAUCAAUUCAUUGAAUUUUUAAAUUCAUUCGAUUUGAAUUCUGAUCAUGAAUUCUAUCUGGCUGCGCGACAAAAUCAUCAUGUGAUGUGACAUAAUGAACCAUCCUCUUUUGCUAUAUAAGUUGAUCAUAUGUAAAUUCGAUCACGGUAGCUACAUGAAAUUUAUAGCUAGGAAUUUAUAAUUAGGAUCUGAAUUGAUCCAAUUUAAAAGUGCGAUCUAUUAAUUGUACUAAAUUAAAGUUGAAAAAAAUUAAAUUUUUCUAAAUAAUUUAAAAUUUUUGAAUAAUUAUUUUAAAUUAAAAUGAAAAAACCGCUCUGAGCCGGGUUAGCAGUUGGCUGCUUCUUUUUUUUUGCGCACCCUUGCUAGAACCAUUCACUUCCAAAUCCACCUCCAUUAGGGAUUCAGGUUGAGUUGGUGCUGGUGGUCCAAAUGACCGUGCCAUCAUAGUCGGUUAGAACCACGCUUCCAUCCCUGCGCAUCCUAACUCUCGACCCACGACCAUUCACAAGAUUGUCACGGUUCGCUGUCCAUGUGAGAGUCUUGGAGUUCAAGUUGGAGAACCAGAUCGAGAAGGUAAAGGCAUUCGAACCAACUUCGUGGAAGCCGC